GAUGAAGAACGUAGCGAAAUGCGAUAAUUAAUGUGAAUUGCACAAUUCCGUGAAUCAUCGAGUCUUUGAACGCACAUUGCGCCUCAUGGCAUUCCGUGAGGCAGGCCCAUCUCAGCGUUAGAAAAUAUUCUCAAAUUUUAGUUUUGUGCUAAAAUUUGGAUCAUGUCAAAGAAGCUAUUACUAUUAUUGUGAUCGCUCUUUGGAAAUUGAUAGGUCUUUGAGUUGCUACUCAUAGAACGUGAUGAAUCUUUCUUCGUUCUAUUGUAAUUCACUCUGGUAGUCCUAAAACUUGUAUGCCUGUGGCAUAUCUUGUAAUUUGACCUGAGAUUGGGUAGGGAUACCCGCUGAACUUAAGCAUAUCAAUAAGCGGAGGA
Molecule: unclassified non-coding RNA, 374 nt
Filed under: soil metagenome
Description: partial contains internal transcribed spacer 2 and large subunit ribosomal RNA
Rfam family: 5.8S ribosomal RNA (bases 1-120)
Source: RNAcentral